Molecule: ribosomal RNA, 489 nt
Filed under: uncultured bacterium
Lineage: Bacteria
Description: partial 16S ribosomal RNA
Rfam family: Bacterial small subunit ribosomal RNA
Source: RNAcentral
GAUGAACGCUAGCGGGAGGCCUAACACAUGCAAGUCGAGCGGGAUUUGUUGGCUAGCUUGCUAACUAACCAUGAGAGCGGCGUACGGGUGCGUAGCACGUGUGUAACCUGCCUUUAUCUCGGGGAUAGCCUUUCGAAAGUAAGACUUAUACCCCAUAACAUAUUGAUUGGCAUCAGUUAAUAUUGAAAGCUCCGGCGGAUCGAGAUGGGCACGCGUAAGAUUAGCUAGUUGGUGAGGUAACGGCUCACCAAGGCUGCGAUCUUUAGGGGGCCUGAGAGGGUGAUCCCCCACACUUGUACUGAGGCACGGACCAGACUGCUACGGGAGAGAGCAGUAAGGAAUAUUGGACAAUGGAUGAGGGCCUGAUCCAGCCAUCCCGCGUGAAGGACUAAGGAGCUAUGGAUGGUAAUCUUCUUUUAUACAAGGGUAAAACUACUCUCGUGAGGGUAGCUGAAGGUACUGUAUGAAUAAGCACCGGCUAACUCCGUG